Molecule: ribosomal RNA, 957 nt
Filed under: uncultured bacterium
Lineage: Bacteria
Description: bacterial SSU rRNA
Rfam family: Bacterial small subunit ribosomal RNA
Source: RNAcentral
UGCAAGUCGAGGGGCAGCACGAUGUAGCAAUAUAUUGGUGGCGACCGGCSCACGGGUGCGUAACACGUAUGGAAUCUGCCUUGUACUGGGAGAUAGCCCUCCGAAAGGAGGAUUAAUAUCCCAUAAUAGUCUGAGUGGCAUCACUUGGAUUUGAAAGCUCCGGCGGUACAAGAUGACCAUGCGCACGAUUAGCUAGUAGGUGAGGUAACGGCUCACCUAGGCUACGAUCGUUAGGGGGCCUGAGAGGGUUAUCCCCCACACUGGUACUGAGACACGGACCAGACUCCUACGGGAGGCAGCAGUGAGGAAUAUUGCGCAAUGGAGGCAACUCUGACGCAGCCAUGCCGCGUGCAGGAUGAAGGCGCUACGCGUUGUAAACUGCUUUUAACCGGGAAGAAACCCCAGGACGUGUCCUGGGUUGACGGUACCGGAGGAAUAAGCACCGGCUAACUUCGUGCCAGCAGCCGCGGUAAUACGAAGGGUGCAAGCGUUAUCCGGAUUCAUUGGGUUUAAAGGGUGCGUAGGCGGAGCGUUAAGUCAGUGGUGAAAUCCCGCAGCUCAACUGUGGAAUUGCCAUUGAUACUGGCGCUCUUGAGUGCGGUUGACGUGGGCGGAAUGUGCCGUGUAGCGGUGAAAUGCUUAGAUAUGGCACAGAACACCGAUCGCGAAGGCAGCUCGCGAAGCCGCAACUGACGCUGAGGCACGAAAGCGUGGGGAUCGAACAGGAUUAGAUACCCUGGUAGUCCACGCCGUAAACGAUGAUCACUCGUGAUUGGCGAUACACUGCCAGUCACCUAGCGAAAGCGUUAAGUGAUCCACCUGGGGAGUACGAUCGCAAGAUUGAAACUCAAAGGAAUUGACGGGGGCCCGCACAAGCGGUGGAGCAUGUGGUUUAAUUCGAUGAUACGCGAGGAACCUUACCAGGGCUCGAACGUACGUUGACAGGGCGGAAACGUC